UACAGAGGUCCCAAGCGUUGUUCGGAUUCACUGGGCGUAAAGGGUGCGUAGGUGGUCAGGUAAGUCCGAUGUGAAAUCUCCAGGCUCAACCUGGAAAUGGCAUUGGAUACUAUUUGGCUUGAGGAGUGGAGGGGGGACUGGAAUUCUCGGUGUAGCAGUGAAAUGCGUAGAUAUCAAGUGGAACACCAGUGGCGAAGGCGAGUCCCUGGACAACUCCUGACACUGAGGCACGAAAGCUAGGGGAGCAAACAGG
Molecule: ribosomal RNA, 253 nt
Filed under: uncultured bacterium
Lineage: Bacteria
Description: partial 16S ribosomal RNA
Rfam family: Bacterial small subunit ribosomal RNA
Source: RNAcentral